RNAcentral lists this ribosomal RNA (428 nucleotides) under uncultured bacterium. RNAcentral's name for it is "bacterial SSU rRNA". It matches the Rfam family "Bacterial small subunit ribosomal RNA", at positions 355 to 775 of the family's 1533-position model. The record is from RNAcentral.
UGGGGAAUCUUGCGCAAUGCGCGAAAGCGUGACGCAGCAACGCCGCGUGGGGGAAGACGGCCUUCGGGUUGUAAACCCCUUUCAGUUGGGACGAAGCUUCGACGGUGAAUAGCCGGCUGGAGUGACGGUACCUUCAGAAGAAGCCCCGGCUAACUACGUGCCAGCAGCCGCGGUAAUACGUAGGGGGCAAGCGUUGUCCGGAAUCAUUGGGCGUAAAGAGCGUGUAGGCGGUUCAGUAAGUCUGCUGUGAAAGUCCAAGGCUCAACCUUGGGAUGCCGGUGGAUACUGCUGAGCUAGAGUACGGAAGAGGCGAGUGGAAUUCCCGGUGUAGCGGUGAAAUGCGCAGAUAUCGGGAGGAACACCUAUUGCGAAGGCAGCUCGCUGGGACGUCACUGACGCUGAGACGCGAAAGCGUGGGGAGCAAACAG